This 125-nucleotide transfer RNA is filed under the name Kofleriaceae bacterium. RNAcentral's name for it is "tRNA-OTHER". It matches the Rfam family "tRNA". Rfam says of the family: Transfer RNA (tRNA) molecules are approximately 80 nucleotides in length. Their secondary structure includes four short double-helical elements and three loops (D, anti-codon, and T loops). Lineage: Bacteria; Pseudomonadati; Myxococcota; Haliangiales; Kofleriaceae. The record is from RNAcentral.
GCAGGUGUAGCUCAGCGGUAGAGCGACUCCGUCCAGCAAGACCCUCGUCCGCGCGAGCGGGCCGGCCGCAGGAUGGUUAUUGGAUACCCACCAGUCGGCCGCCGGUUCGAAUCCGGCCACCUGCU